RNAcentral lists this long non-coding RNA (237 nucleotides) under Homo sapiens (human). RNAcentral's name for it is "HSALNT0304955". Lineage: Eukaryota; Metazoa; Chordata; Mammalia; Primates; Hominidae. The record is from RNAcentral.
CCGCCCCCGGCCCUGCGCCGCCGCCGCCGCCGCUCCUAGGGUUCCGUCUGCUCAUCAGACAACAGAUAUUUAUUGAAUGUUCUUUGUCAUGCGUCUUCAAGAUGUGCCCUGGCCAUUCAUGCAAGUUUCAAGGACUCUGAAUCUGUUGAGAAAAAGAGGUUACGUUCCAAUUCUGCUUUAGUUCCAACCCAAAUGCUGAGAAACACUCCAUGGAAUUUAAUUACAGGGCGAUAACUG